This 468-nucleotide ribosomal RNA is filed under the name uncultured bacterium. RNAcentral's name for it is "partial 16S ribosomal RNA". It matches the Rfam family "Bacterial small subunit ribosomal RNA", at positions 28 to 507 of the family's 1533-position model. The record is from RNAcentral.
GACGAACGCUGGCGGCGUGCUUAACACAUGCAAGUCGAACGAAAAGGCCCUGCUUUUGUGGGGUGCUCGAGUGCCGCACGGGUGAGUAAAACGUGAGUAUACUGCCCUUGACUUUGGGGUAUCUUCAGGAAAAUGGGGAUAUUACCGGAUAUGAGCUCCUGCUGCAUGGUGUGGGUUGGUAAGAUUCGGCGGUUGUGGCUGGAUUCGCGGCUUAUCCGCUUGUUUGUGGGGUAGUGGCGUACAAAGGCUUUGACGGGUAGCCGGCCUUAGAGGGUUACCGGCCACAAUAGGACUGAGAGAGGGACCAGACGCCAACGGGAGGCAGUAGUGGGGAAUAUUGCACAAUGGGCGGGAGCCAGUUACAGAAACGCCGGGUGCGGAAUGACGGCCUACUGGUUAUAAACCGCUUUCGACUGUGACGAAGCGUUAGUGACGGUAAUGGGUAAAGAAGCACCGGCUAACUACGUG